GAUGCGUUCCAUUAGUUAGUUGGCGGGGUAACGGCCCAACAAGACGACGAUGGAUAGGGGUUCUGAGAGGAAGGUCCCCCACAUUGGAACUGAGACACGGUCCAAACUCCUACGGGAGGCAGCAGUGAGGAAUAUUGGUCAAUGGACGAGAGUCUGAACCAGCCAAGUAGCGUGAAGGAUGACUGCCCUAUGGGUUGUAAACUUCUUUUAUAUGGGAAUAAAACAGGGUAUGCAUACCCUCUUGUAUGUACCAUAUGAAUAAGGAUCGGCUAACUCCGUGCCAGCAGCCGCGGUAAUACGGAGGAUCCGAGCGUUAUCCGGAUUUAUUGGGUUUAAAGGGAGCGUAGGUGGAUUGUUAAGUCAGUUGUGAAAGUUUGCGGCUCAACCGUAAAAUUGCAGUUGAAACUGGCAGUCUUGAGUACAGUAGAGGUGGGCGGAAUUCGUGGUGUAGCGGUGAAAUGCUUAGAUAUCACGAAGAACUCCGAUUGCGAAGGCAGCUCACUGGACUGCAACUGACACUGAUGCUCGAAAGUGUGGGUAUCAAACAGGAUUAGAUACCCUGGUAGUCCACACAGUAAACGAUGAAUACUCGCUGUUUGCGAUAUACAGUAA
This 612-nucleotide ribosomal RNA is filed under the name uncultured bacterium. RNAcentral's name for it is "bacterial SSU rRNA". It matches the Rfam family "Bacterial small subunit ribosomal RNA", at positions 230 to 842 of the family's 1533-position model. The record is from RNAcentral.